GAAUGUUGGGUUAAGUCCCGCAACGAGCGCAACCCUUGUCUUUAGUUGCCAUCAUUAAGUUGGGCACUCUAAAGAGACUGCCGAUGACAAAUCGGAGGAAGUGGGGAUGACGUCAAAUCAUCAUGCCCUUUAUGUCCUGGGCUACACACGUGCUACAAUGGUCGGUACAACGAGAAGCAAGUCAGCGAUGGCAAGCAAAUCUCUAAAAGCCGAUCCCAGUUCGGAUUGCAGGCUGCAACUCGCCUGCAUGAAGUCGGAGUUGCUAGUAAUCGCGGAUCAGAAUGCCGCGGUCGAAUACGUUCCCGGGCCUU
Molecule: ribosomal RNA, 311 nt
Filed under: uncultured Eubacteriales bacterium
Lineage: Bacteria; Bacillati; Bacillota; Clostridia; Eubacteriales
Description: bacterial SSU rRNA
Rfam family: Bacterial small subunit ribosomal RNA
Source: RNAcentral